This 390-nucleotide ribosomal RNA is filed under the name uncultured cyanobacterium. Its description in RNAcentral is "bacterial SSU rRNA". It matches the Rfam family "Bacterial small subunit ribosomal RNA", at positions 388 to 795 of the family's 1533-position model. Lineage: Bacteria; Bacillati; Cyanobacteriota. The record is from RNAcentral.
GGAGCAACGCCGCGUGAGGGAGGAAGGCUCUUGGGUUGUAAACCUCUUUUAUCAAGGAAGAUAAUGACGGUACUUGAUGAAUCAGCAUCGGCUAACUCCGUGCCAGCAGCCGCGGUAAUACGGAGGAUGCAAGCGUUAUCCGGAAUAAUUGGGCGUAAAGCGUUCGUAGGUGGUUCUGUAAGUCUGCUGUUAAAGCGUGUAGCUCAACUACAUAUAGGCGGUGGAAACUACAAAACUUGAGUGCGUUCGGGGUAGAGGGAAUUCCUGGUGUAGCGGUGAAAUGCGUAGAGAUCAGGAAGAACACCGGUGGCGAAGGCGCUCUACUAGACCGCAACUGACACUGAGGGACGAAAGCUAGGGGAGCGAAUGGGAUUAGAUACCCCAGUAGUC